Panicum virgatum (switchgrass) is the source of this 466-nucleotide long non-coding RNA. RefSeq lists it as uncharacterized. The record is from RefSeq and is a predicted model, not a curated record. The transcript has 4 exons. NCBI's taxonomy places the organism in Eukaryota, Viridiplantae, Streptophyta, Magnoliopsida, Poales, Poaceae.
ACACAUGCAUAAGUAAAAAUGGAGCAACAGAAACAGGCUGGAGCUUCUUGUGGGUUAUCUUAUUUGGUGUAGUGGCGGCAGGAGUUGCAGGAUAUGCAGUGUACAAGUACAGGAUCCGGAGGUAUAUGGACUCAGAGAUCUGUGCCAUCAUGGCUCAAUACAUGCCCCUGGACAACAAAGGAGAUGUUCAGAGUCAUUCUCAUCAUAUUGAGAUGUGAGGAGGAUGAAGACUAUGAGAGGAAACUGAGACAUGAUCCAGCUUAUAUCGACACAAGUGACAUGUGCAUAACCAUAACGAUCUUAUGUCUCACACGCAAAUACCAAUAAAGGAGAUGGUAGACGGGAAUGACUGGUGUGUAGUCAUGUUUGUGGUCAGUGGUAUAGGGGUACAAGUGCCAACAAAUAGAAAACUGUACCUGGCGUCUGUGAAUGAGAAAUUGCGUGUAUUUGUAAGGGGAGGGGGCUG